Homo sapiens (human) is the source of this 291-nucleotide long non-coding RNA. Ensembl annotates it as PDE7B antisense RNA 1. Its record names the gene PDE7B-AS1. The record is from Ensembl. Lineage: Eukaryota; Metazoa; Chordata; Mammalia; Primates; Hominidae.
CCUCUCCUGUUCAAUUGGAAUUCAAGGACUUAAUCCACUUUUAAUUACACUGUUCCUGUUGUUGCAUCAAAAGCUAAAAUGACUGAGCUGCUGAAAACCUUGCUGCUCUCCUGUUCUCCUGAUAGUGAGGGAGUUCUCAGGAGAUCUGGUUGUUUGAAAUGUGACCUGGCCCAAUGUAGCAGGGGUUGACCAGACUGCAGAGGACGGGGAGUUCAGCUCACAAUGAGGAUGGAGAAGCAAGGAAGCUCUUUUGUGGAUUAAGCAACAACAAAAACCAAAACAAACCAAAAA